This 460-nucleotide ribosomal RNA is filed under the name uncultured bacterium. RNAcentral describes it as "bacterial SSU rRNA". It matches the Rfam family "Bacterial small subunit ribosomal RNA", at positions 15 to 518 of the family's 1533-position model. The record is from RNAcentral.
GAUUAUGGCUCAGAACGAACGCUGGCGGCAGGCCUAAAACAUGCAAGUUGAACGGCCAUAGCAAGUAUGGCAGUAGCGCAAGGGUGAGUAAUGUAUGGGAACGUAUCUUUUGGUGGGGAAUAUUCUUUGGAAACGAAGAGCAAUACCGCAUAAGCCCUACGGGGGAAAGAUUUAUCGCCGAUUGAGCGGCCCAUAUUGGAUUAGCUAGUUGGUUAGGUAACGGCUGACCAAGGCUGUGAUCCAUAGCUGGUCUGAGAGGACGAUCAGCCACACUGGGACUGAGACACGGCCCAGACUCCUACGGGAGGCAGCAGUUAGGAAUAUUGGACAAUGGGGGCAACCCUGAUCCAAGCCAUGCCGCGUGAGUGUUAAGGCCUUCGGGUUGUAAAGCUCUUUUGUAUGGGAAAAUGAUGAUGGUACCAUAAGAAUAAGCACCGGCUAACUUCGUGCCAGCAGCGGC